CCUUGAUCAGAUUAGGCCAUGGCAAAAGACGUGGUUGAUCCAAGCCAAAGUGGUACACACCUGAAACCAUCCAAUAUCGUGUUUGGUGAGAGUUUGGAAAUCAUAUUAGCAGACAAACAUGGCUGCAAAAUUCAAGCUACAUUUAACAAGAACUAUUUGAAUUCUUUGGAGAAUGAAUGCAAGAAGUAUACCUUCGGAGUAUUGGGGUCCAUAUUAAUUUGUCUGGCAUAAACUUUCAAGAAGUAUGCAUUCGAUUCUUCGAAGUCAUCACAACACUCAUCGCAAUAACAAUAUAAGUCAUCGGAUACAACAUGCAAAA
Molecule: long non-coding RNA, 319 nt
Organism: Brassica napus (rape)
Lineage: Eukaryota; Viridiplantae; Streptophyta; Magnoliopsida; Brassicales; Brassicaceae
Exons: 2
Source: RefSeq, a predicted model, not a curated record